GCUUAGAGUUUGAUCCUGGCUCAGAUUGAACGCUGGCGGCAUGCUUUACACAUGCAAGUCGAACGGUAACAGGUCUUCGGAUGCUGACGAGUGGCGAACGGGUGAGUAAUACAUCGGAACGUGCCUAGUAGUGGGGGAUAACUACUCGAAAGAGUAGCUAAUACCGCAUGAGAUCUACGGAUGAAAGCAGGGGACCUUCGGGCCUUGUGCUACUAGAGCGGCUGAUGGCAGAUUAGGUAGUUGGUGGGGUAAAGGCUUACCAAGCCUGCGAUCUGUAGCUGGUCUGAGAGGACGACCAGCCACACUGGGACUGAGACACGGCCCAGACUCCUACGGGAGGCAGCAGUGGGGAAUUUUGGACAAUGGGCGAAAGCCUGAUCCAGCAAUGCCGCGUGCAGGAUGAAGGCCCUCGGGUUGUAAACUGCUUUUGUACGGAACGAAAAGCCUGGGGCUAAUAUCCCCGGGUCAUGACGGUACCGUAAGAAUAAGCACCGGCUAACUACGUGCCAGCAGCCGCGGUAAUACGUAGGGUGCAAGCGUUAAUCGGAAUUACUGGGCGUAAAGCGUGCGCAGGCGGUUUUGUAAGACAGUGGUGAAAUCCCCGGGCUCAACCUGGGAACUGCCAUUGUGACUGUAAGGCUAGAGUGCGGCAGAGGGGGAUGGAAUUCCGCGUGUAGCAGUGAAAUGCGUAGAUAUGCGGAGGAACACCGAUGGCGAAGGCAAUCCCCUGGGCCUGCACUGACGCUCAUGCACGAAAGCGUGGGGAGCAAACAGGAUUAGAUACCCUGGUAGUCCACGCCCUAAACGAUGUCAACUGGUUGUUGGGUCUUAACUGACUCAGUAACGAAGCUAACGCGUGAAGUUGACCGCCUGGGGAGUACGGCCGCAAGGUUG
Molecule: ribosomal RNA, 894 nt
Filed under: uncultured bacterium
Lineage: Bacteria
Description: bacterial SSU rRNA
Rfam family: Bacterial small subunit ribosomal RNA
Source: RNAcentral